Molecule: ribosomal RNA, 207 nt
Filed under: uncultured bacterium
Lineage: Bacteria
Description: partial 16S ribosomal RNA
Rfam family: Bacterial small subunit ribosomal RNA
Source: RNAcentral
UCGGAUUGCAGGCUGCAACCCGCCUGCAUGAAGUUGGAAUCGCUAGUAAUCGCGGAUCAGCAUGCCGCGGUGAAUACGUUCCCGGGCCUUGUACACACCGCCCGUCACACCAUGAGAGUCGGGAACACCCGAAGUCCGUAGUCUGACCGCAAGGGGACGCGGCCGAAGGUGGGUUCGAUAAUUGGGGUGAAGUCGUAACAAGGUAAC